GACGAACGCUGGCGGCGUGCUUAACACAUGCAAGUCGAACGGAAAGGCCCUGCUUUUGUGGGGUGCUCGAGUGGCGAACGGGUGAGUAACACGUGAGUAACCUGCCCUUGACUUUGGGAUAACUUCAGGAAACUGGGGCUAAUACCGGAUAGGAGCACCUGCUGCAUGGUGGGGGUUGGAAAGUUUCGGCGGUUGGGGAUGGACGCGCGGCUUAUCAGCUUGUUGGUGGGGUAGUGGCUUACCAAGGCUUUGACGGGUAGCCGGCCUGAGAGGGUGACCGGCCACAUUGGGCCUGAGAUACGGCCCAGACUCCUCCGGGAGGCAGCAGUGGGGAAUAUUGCGCAAUGGGCGGAAGCCUGCUGCAGCAACGCCGCGUGCGGGAUGACGGCCUUCGGGUUGUAACCCGCUUUCGCCUGUGACGAAGCGUGAGUGACGGUAAUGGGUAAAGAAGCACCGGCUAACUACGUG
RNAcentral lists this ribosomal RNA (468 nucleotides) under uncultured bacterium. RNAcentral's name for it is "partial 16S ribosomal RNA". It matches the Rfam family "Bacterial small subunit ribosomal RNA", at positions 28 to 507 of the family's 1533-position model. The record is from RNAcentral.